This 62-nucleotide transfer RNA is filed under the name Cryptorhamphus sp. RNAcentral describes it as "tRNA-Cys". Lineage: Eukaryota; Metazoa; Arthropoda; Insecta; Hemiptera; Cryptorhamphidae. The record is from RNAcentral.
GGCUUUAUAGUCAAUGUAUGAUAUUAGAUUGCAAAUCUGAAGUAGUAGUUUUACUGAAGCUU